GGAGUUAGCCGGUGCUUCUUCUGCGAGUAACGUCACAGAUGUAAGGUAUUAACUUACACCCUUUCCUCCUCGCUGAAAGUGCUUUACAACCCGAAGGCCUUCUUCACACACGCGGCAUGGCUGCAUCAGGGUUUCCCCCAUUGUGCAAUAUUCCCCACUGCUGCCUCCCGUAGGAGUCUGGGCCGUGUCUCAGUCCCAGUGUGGCUGAUCAUCCUCUCAGACCAGCUAGGGAUCGUCGCCUAGGUGAGCCUUUACCUCACCUACUAGCUAAUCCCACCUGGGCUUAUCCAUCAGCGCAAGGCCCGAAGGUCCCCUGCUUUCCCCCGUAGGGCGUAUGCGGUAUUAGCAGUCGUUUCCAACUGUUAUCCCCCACAACUGGGCAAAUUCCCAGGCAUUACUCACCCGUCCGCCGCUCGUCAUCUUCAAAGCAAGCUUUGAAAUGUUACCGCUCGACUUGCAUGUGUUAGGCCUGCCGCCAGCGUUCAAUCUGAGCCAUGAUCAAACUCUGA
Molecule: ribosomal RNA, 509 nt
Filed under: uncultured bacterium
Lineage: Bacteria
Description: partial 16S ribosomal RNA
Source: RNAcentral